CCCGCCUCUGCUUCUUAUCACAGCAAGCUCAUCGCCCUCUCAAAUGCCGGGUCCUCAGCCUGGGUGUAGCUCCAAGCACAGUAGCUCCCUGACUUUUCCAGGCUCUGUUCUGCCACAGGGCAGGCGAGGAGGCCCUUUCCGCAGCCCACCUGCCCACGUCGCAGGAGCAGAUGGCUGGAGCAUGCCCAGACUCACCUGCUCUUCUGCCUGCUGCUGCCACACGCCCGAUGCUCCAGCCAUGUGAGAUUCCAUGCUGUUCACUGUGCUCGAGUUCUCCCUGCAUCUUUCCAUCUUUCCCUCUCUUUGGAAAUAAACUCUAUCCUUCCCGGCCUGGAGAGAAAGCCUUCCACUUCAAGUCCUAGCUUAGACGUCAUCUCCUCCAGGAGGCCCUCUCUAGGUGUCUUGGUGGAUUUAAACCUCCCAUCGUUCUCCUGUCUGUCGUCUGAGAAAGGACUGGCAGAGUACUGGCGGUCUGUGUGUCUCCUGGAGGCCUCUGUUGUGGGGCCAGGGAGGUGGCAGGCACUUUGCCAGCGUGUCUUGCUCUGUCUCCACUUCCCAACUGGCUUCUGUGUGGAUGGCUCCUGCCCGCCGCCCUCUGUGACUGCUCAUUUGUCCUUUGAUGGUCAAGGCUGAGAGAAAGUCCCCCUUGGGCUC
Molecule: long non-coding RNA, 654 nt
Organism: Bos taurus (domestic cattle)
Lineage: Eukaryota; Metazoa; Chordata; Mammalia; Artiodactyla; Bovidae
Source: Ensembl